UUUCACAGAUUAUUUAAACAGCAGAAGUUCCAUAAACUGGAAUACUCUCUGGCAACAUUUUUAUCAGGCUAGAUAAAAGUGGUUGAAUAAUGUGUGAAAGUACACGAGCGGCGGACGGCUGGGUAACGCGUAGGAACGUACCCCAAAGUGAGGAAUAACCGCCCGAAAGGGUGGCUAAUGCCGCAUGUGGUCCACGGACUAAAGGAUUUAUCCGCUUUGGGAGCGGCCUGCGUAAGAUUAGCUAGUUGGUGAGGUAAUGGCUCACCAAGGCGACGAUCUUUAGCUGGUCUGAGAGGAUGAUCAGCCAGACUGGGACUGAGACACGGCCCAGACUCCUACGGGAGGCAGCAGUAGGGAAUUUUCCACAAUGGACGAAAGUCUGAUGGAGCAACGCCGCGUGCAGGAUGACGGCCUUCGGGUUGUAAACUGCUUUUAUGAGUGAAGAUUAUGACAGUAACUCAAGAAUAAGGGACGGCUAACUACGUGCCAGCAGCCGCGGUCAUACGUAGGUCCCAAGCGUUAUCCGGAAUUACUGGGCGUAAAGAGUUGCGUAGGUGGUAAUGCAAGCAGAAAGUGAAAUCGUACGGCUCAACCGUAUAUACAUCUUCUGAACUGCAUCACUUGAGGAUGAGAGAGGUUAUUGGAAUUGCUAGUGUAGGAGUGAAAUCCGUAGAUAUUAGCAGGAACACCGAUGGCGUAGGCAGAUAACUGGCUCAUUCCUGACACUGAGGCACGAAAGCGUGGGGAGCGAACGGGAUUAGAUACCCCGGUAGUCCACGCCGUAAACGAUGGAUGCUAGCUGUAUGU
This 807-nucleotide ribosomal RNA is filed under the name uncultured bacterium. RNAcentral's name for it is "bacterial SSU rRNA". It matches the Rfam family "Bacterial small subunit ribosomal RNA", at positions 1 to 827 of the family's 1533-position model. The record is from RNAcentral.